Molecule: long non-coding RNA, 292 nt
Filed under: Homo sapiens (human)
Lineage: Eukaryota; Metazoa; Chordata; Mammalia; Primates; Hominidae
Description: non-protein coding lnc-VPREB1-14:1
Source: RNAcentral
UGGGCAGUCAGGGCUCACUUGGUAGCCUGCACAGUCUGUCUGUGACAAAACCAGUCACCAUCUCCUGCACUGGAAUCAGCAGCAAUAAGGUUCUUGGAAUUGUGUCCUGGUACCAACAAUGACAAGGAAGUGCCUCCAAACUUCUGAUGUAUAGAAGCAAAUAUCUGCCUGCAGGGACCCAGGAUGGAUGCUCGGGCUACCAGUUUGGCAAGGAGGCCUUCCCAAGCAUCUCUGGGCUCCAGGCUGAGGACAACGCUGAUCUCAACUGUUGGCUUCAGACAGCCCCCUGGAG